GUAUAUGAGUUGUUAUGCAUUUUGUGAUUUAACUUAUAAUAUAUUGACUUUGUGUUUGCAUAAGAAUUUCUUACUGGAAAACUAAUGAGUUAUUUGAUUAUUUAAGAUAUGGGUUUAUUGAUAAUUCUCUCUAGAAGAGAAGCGGGAUUAUUCAAUUUGAUCUUUUCUCUUAAUCAAGAAAUGGUUCCAUUCCUAGACUAUCACAUUACAUUACUUGCAUUUGCAUAUUAUUUAUUUCAUGUAAGUACUUUAGUCUCAUGCCUGACAAUAGUUUGCGGAUUGCAUAUCUCUCUUGAAUUAUUGUAUUUUCACCACUUUAUACUUUUGACUUCCAUUAGUUUGAUCUGAUAUGCAUUAUGUGCAAUAUAUAUAUAUAUAUAUAAUAAGUAAAGGAAGAAGAAAAGAAACAAGAAGAAAAGCGAAAAAAAAUAAAGGGCCGUGUAUAUCAUUUUUAAGUAACAUGGGUUAUUUUGUUUUCAUCUUAGAGAUUACACAUGUGAAAUUAUUGAGAUUUUUAGCAUGAGACAAAAUGACGAACAUGUUAAACUUCUAUGCAGGUACGUGCAGUUACUUUACGGUUGAUGUUCAUAUUUAUAUAUGUGGCUGUGAGAUUUAUCAUGAGAUUGAAUCUGUUGUCAAUUAUAAAAUAGUUAUGUGUGUAUACUAUUCUAUACUUAAUGUUGAAGCAUACUAUGGAAAUAUAGAUACUGUUUGAUGCUCUCUUGGUUAUUUAAAAAUAUUUACUAAUUCUUUUAUGUCAAUGCUCACUAGAACAAACAAAUAAUAUUGAAUUUUUCUUCAAUGUGCAUAUAAUUACUCUUACUUUUGAUAUCUUAUAUAUAAUGAAAUUGAUUUGAGAUUUUCAUGAAAUUAAUUUUCUAAUAAGUGCCAUAAUGUGGGGGUAUGCUUCAUUGCUCGUACCCAUGUUUAUUCUAGUGAAGUUAUGAAUGAUUAAUUAUGCACCUUAUACAACUUAUAUGUGAAAUUAUGACUAAAAUAUUUUUUAGCUUGCAGUUAGUUAUAACUUGUAGAUUUAAGAGCGCUGACGAGCAAAUAUAUGAUCAGAAAACUUAUAUAUGCCUUGUGAAGGCAAUGAUUAAUUAUGCACCUUAAACAACUUAUAUGUGAAAUUAUGACUAAAAUAUUUUUUAGCUUGCAGUUAGUUAUAACAUGCAGGUUUAAGAGCGCUGACGAGCAAAUAUAUGACCAUAAAACUUAUAUAUGCCUUGUGAAGGCAAUCAUAAUUAAUAAAAUGACUUGUUAGUCAUUUAUCUGCAUGCCUCGCGGAUGCUAAAUGCAAAAUUGUCAAGGGGGAUGUACUUAAGCCCAUAAGGGAGUCACCUAAGGAAGAAACCCAACUUAUGUGAUUGGAGAUCCUAUGAAGGAAGUUCAAUGUGGUAGAAACAAUCCAUACUGCGUGACUCAUUAUAGCACUCAUAUUAUAAUGAAGAUAUCCAUGAGAUAUCUUUGCUCAUCCCUAUGACAUUAGUGCAAUUUUAUGUGACAUUAGGAAGGGUAUUAACCUUGAAUGAGUUUCGAGGCGGACGAUCUCCCACAGGGUACAUGUCACAUGUACUCUUGGAGAACUCAUCUAAGUGAGAGUAGUUGUGAGGCCGCAACUGUUAGGAUUGGGCUGUUCUCUAAUAACUCUCAUGAGAAUCAAGAUUAAGCACAUGGCCAUAAAUAGCAUUAACCCGUGCCAAGUUUUUUAUCGAUACCAUGUGUGUUACAUUUAGUAUUCUGGUCAAAAGGAGUCUAGUUCAAGACAUAGUUCACUAUGAUUCAUUCAGAUGAAAGGUGUUAACACUAAGUGUAGGUUCAAGUCCAAAAGACACCUACACCUAUUGCAUGGUAUACAAGUUGCCCAAAUUUCUUCCAUUCAUAUCUAUAUAUUUACUUCUUCUACAUUUCUAUGGAGUUUUGAAUCUUGUGGGGGAUUGUUGGUUACUUAUUUUAUUUUCUUAAAGAUUCAAAACUUUAUUUAUUAUUAUUUUAAAUAAAAAAUAUGAAGAGUCACAUUCAUUAGAGAAGUCAUGUCUUUUAUUAAAGGGUAUGUAGAGUUUAAUAAAUAGCGAACUCCUCAAACGGAACAAAGACAUUAACAUAGAUUAAAAUGUCUUCAUUCUCUCUCUACUACAGUACUCAUAUAUAAUUCUUAUUAUCUUCCUACUCAUCUUGAUCAUCAAUGGGCAAUUGAUCACUACUUGGCAUCUCGUCUACCGUAAUCGUGCUUAUGGAUUAGACACUCUGUGAAAUUCAAGGGUUGUAUCUUGGAGUUGUAUAUAGCCGUUAUAACUGGCACGUAGGGAGGCGUCUAUGGCUUUAGGACAGUGACAACACGCCUCUCUUGAUAUCACAGACCAGAUCAUUCUUUACCUUUUCCUUUUUACUGCUUUAUUUAUUGAUAUAUGUGUUUGAUGCAUUUGGGUAUUAUCUAAUUGAUUGAAUUUACAUGUGUAUUAUGAUCAUAAUCAUUUAUAUUAUCCUACAAGAAAUUGGAGGUUUGGUUUGUUGAUUAAGGGAUGUGUGGCUAUGAUUCUCACGACGGGAGGGGGUAAGGUAGGAGAGAAUGAAGGAAGGUUGGCUGGGAUUGGGGUGGAGGGUGGGGGAAAGAGGUAGGAGAUGAUGAUUUUUUUUUUCUUUUUU
RNAcentral lists this long non-coding RNA (2646 nucleotides) under Malus domestica (apple). RNAcentral's name for it is "long non-coding RNA (MDOM_LNC019879)". The record is from RNAcentral. Lineage: Eukaryota; Viridiplantae; Streptophyta; Magnoliopsida; Rosales; Rosaceae.